GGCCUACCAUGGUGGUAACGGGUGACGUAGAAUUAGGGUUCGAUUCCGGAGAGGGAGCCUGAGAAACGGCUACCACAUCCAAGGAUGGCAGCAGGCGCGCAAAUUACCCAAUCCCGACACGGGGAGGUAGUGACAAUAAAUAACAAUACGGGGUUCUUUCGGAUUUCGUAAUUGGAAUGAGUACAAUUUAAAUCUCUUAACGAGGAACAAUUGGAGGGCAAGUCUGGUGCCAGCAGCCGCGGUAAUUCCAGCUCCAAUAGCGUAUAUUAAAGUUGUUGCAGUUAAAAAGCUCGUAGUUGAAUUUCGGGGUUAGUAGGUUGGUCGUGCCUCAGGUAUGUACUGAUCUCACUGAUUCCUCCUUCCUGAUGAACCGUAAUGCCAUUAAUUUGGUGUCUUGGGGAAUCAGGACUGUUACUUUGAAAAAAUUAGAGUGUUUAAAGCAGGCAUACGCUUGAAUACAUUAGCAUGGAAUAAUGAAAUAGGACGUUUGAUUCUAUUUUGUUGGUUUCUAGGAUCGACGUAAUGAUUAAUAGGGAUAGUUGGGGGCAUUAGUAUUCAAUUGUCAGAGGUGAAAUUCUUGGAUUUAUUGAAGACUAACUACUGCGAAAGCAUUUGCCAAGGAUGUUUUCAUUAAUCAAGAACGAAAGUUAGGGGAUCGAAGACGAUCAGAUACCGUCGUAGUCUUAACCAUAAACUAUGCCGACUAGGGAUCGGAUGAUGUUAUUUUUAAUGACUCAUUCGGCGCCUUACG
RNAcentral lists this ribosomal RNA (751 nucleotides) under uncultured Glomeromycotina. RNAcentral describes it as "SSU rRNA". It matches the Rfam family "Eukaryotic small subunit ribosomal RNA", at positions 338 to 1092 of the family's 1831-position model. Lineage: Eukaryota; Fungi; Glomeromycota. The record is from RNAcentral.